CAGUCGCCGCGGGAAUACGUAGGGUGCGAGCGUUAAUCGGAAUUACUGGGCGUAAAGCGUGCGCAGGCGGUUGUGUAAGACAGGUGUGAAAUCCCCGGGCUUAACCUGGGAGCUGCGCUUGUGACUGCACAGCUAGAGUAUGGCAGAGGGGGGUGGAAUUCCACGUGUAGCAGUGAAAUGCGUAGAGAUGUGGAGGAACACCGAUGGCGAAGGCAGCCCCCUGGGCCAAUACUGACGCUCAUGCACGAAAGCGUGGGGAGCAAACAGGAUUAGAGACCCGCGUAGUCCCUGUCUCUUAUAC
This 301-nucleotide ribosomal RNA is filed under the name uncultured bacterium. RNAcentral's name for it is "partial 16S ribosomal RNA". It matches the Rfam family "Bacterial small subunit ribosomal RNA", at positions 509 to 807 of the family's 1533-position model. The record is from RNAcentral.